GAUGAACGCUGGCGGCGUGCUUAACACAUGCAAGUCGAACGGAAAGGCCCAAGCUUGCUUGGGUACUCGAGUGGCGAACGGGUGAGUAACACGUGGGUGAUCUGCCCUGCACUUCGGGAUAAGCCUGGGAAACUGGGUCUAAUACCGGAUAGGACGAUGGUUUGGAUGCCAUUGUGGAAAGUUUUUUCGGUGUGGGAUGAGCUCGCGGCCUAUCAGCUUGUUGGUGGGGUAAUGGCCUACCAAGGCGUCGACGGGUAGCCGGCCUGAGAGGGUGUACGGCCACAUUGGGACUGAGAUACGGCCCAGACUCCUACGGGAGGCAGCAGUGGGGAAUAUUGCACAAUGGGCGCAAGCCUGAUGCAGCGACGCCGCGUGGGGGAUGACGGCCUUCGGGUUGUAAACUCCUUUCGCUAGGGACGAAGCGUUUUUGUGACGGUACCUGGAGAGGAAGCACCGGCUAACUACGUG
This 468-nucleotide ribosomal RNA is filed under the name uncultured bacterium. Its description in RNAcentral is "partial 16S ribosomal RNA". It matches the Rfam family "Bacterial small subunit ribosomal RNA", at positions 28 to 507 of the family's 1533-position model. The record is from RNAcentral.